UUUUUUUUGGGGGGGGGCCAUCUGGUGCCAGCAGCCGCGGUAAUUCCAGCUCCAAUAGCGUAUAUUAAAGUUGUUGCAGUUAAAAAGCUCGUAGUUGAAUUUCGGGGUCAGUAGAUUGGUCGUGCCACUGGUAUGUACUGGUCUUACUGGCUCCUCCUUCCUGAUGAACCGUAAUGCCAUUAAUUUGGUGUUGCGGGGAAACUGGACUGUUACUUUGAAAAAAUUAGAGUGUUUAAAGCAGGCUAACGCUUGAAUACAUUAGCAUGGAAUAAUGAAAUAGGACGUUCGAUCUUAUUUUGUUGGUUUCUAGGAUUGACGUAAUGAUUAAUAGGGAUAGUUGGGGGCAUUAGUAUUCAAUUGUCAGAGGUGAAAUUCUUGGAUUUAUUGAAGACUAACUACUGCGAAAGCAUUUGCCAAGGAUGUUUUCAUUAAUCAAGAACGAAAGUUAGGGGAUCGAAGACGAUCAGAUACCGUCGUAGUCUUAACCAUAAACUAUGCCGACUAGGGAUCGGAUGAGUAGUAC
This 523-nucleotide ribosomal RNA is filed under the name Rhizophagus sp. (in: glomeromycetes). Its description in RNAcentral is "Rhizophagus sp. (in: Fungi) partial small subunit ribosomal RNA". It matches the Rfam family "Eukaryotic small subunit ribosomal RNA", at positions 539 to 1067 of the family's 1831-position model. Lineage: Eukaryota; Fungi; Glomeromycota; Glomeromycetes; Glomerales; Glomeraceae. The record is from RNAcentral.